Molecule: long non-coding RNA, 135 nt
Organism: Perognathus longimembris pacificus (Pacific pocket mouse)
Lineage: Eukaryota; Metazoa; Chordata; Mammalia; Rodentia; Heteromyidae
Exons: 3
Source: RefSeq, a predicted model, not a curated record
AAGCUACAGGUACUAAGUAAUCCUCGUAUCUUUAUGUUGAUUUAGGGUGUAUUGAAUUAGUAUGUAGUACUGUGAAUUGUUUAUAGCUAUUGGUAUUUCAAUAUGUAAUUAAAUGCUUGAACAUAUAAAGUUUAA